UGCUGCGGGACUACGCUUACAUAAAACGUGAUAUUUCAAUGCGUCUGCUAGCGACCCACAAACUGACCUUUUGCUACCAAAUAAGAUAAGGAUAACUGAAUACACAUGGGGAAUUCAUCUAGUCAGUCAACAGAGAAGGCAAGAGCAGGGCCAUUAAGCGCGUCAGUUAUGUCUGAGAAGGCUGAUGAAAUCAAGAGAGAUGAACAAGGCAGACCCUUGGAUAAGGAUGGAAAUCCAUUAAAACCUUGCUGUGCCUGCCCUGAAACUAAGAAAGUUAGAGAUGAAUGUAUACUUCACAAUGGCGAAGAAAAUUGUAAAGAACUUAUAGAGGCACAUAAGGAAUGCCUUCGAAAGUUGGGAUUUAACAUUUGAUACAGUUACAGCAAACUUUGAAGCAGUAGCAGCAUUUCAGUAAGGAUCUCUGUACAUGUGUCACCAAAAAAUGGCUAUUUAUAAUAAGGAUCAACAGAAGAACAUUUCAAUUUAAUCAUUGAAAAAAUGGAAUAUAUUAAUGUUAAUGGCUCUAUUUAUUAUGUUGAAACAUUCAGGAGGGACAUUUUUACUUUUUUAGGGGGGUGUCUCUUUCUGUGAAAAUAAAGAGUUGGAGAGUUUUUAUCAAUUUUACAUAAACUGAAUAGUAGGAAUUCAGGGAGACAGCAUGGCUUCCCUUUUUAAAUAGCAUUUUCUGUUCCCAUCACACCACAUUAUAUCUUAAAAUAUGUGCAUGGUUAAAGAUUGUUGACUGCUGAGUUAAAGUUGCAAUAUGACACAUGGUGGAAAGUUUGUUGUAGUGUUUUAUUAUUGAAUCAUUCAGGAAAUUUAUUAAUGCUCUAUGUAUUAAAUUUUGUGAUAUGUGAAGUAUACACAGAAGAGUAAACAAGUUUAUGCAUAUAUGGAAA
Molecule: long non-coding RNA, 899 nt
Organism: Lingula anatina
Lineage: Eukaryota; Metazoa; Brachiopoda; Lingulata; Lingulida; Lingulidae
Source: RefSeq, a predicted model, not a curated record